GAAUGCUGACAUAAGUAACGAUAAAGCGGGUGAAAAGCCCGCUCGCCGGAAGACCAAGGGUUCCUGUCCAACGUUAAUCGGGGCAGGGUGAGUCGACCCCUAAGGCGAGGCCGAAAGGCGUAGUCGAUGGGAAACGGGUUAAUAUUCCCGUACUUGGUGUUACUGCGAAGGGGGGACGGAGAAGGCUAUGUUGGCCGGGCGACGGUUGUCCCGGUUUAAGCGUGUAGGUGUGUGUUCCAGGUAAAUCCGGUUCACUUUAACACUGAGGCGUGACGACGAGGCACUACGGUGCUGAAGCAACAAAUGCCCUGCUUCCAGGAAAAGCCUCUAAGCAUCAGGUAACAUCAAAUCGUACCCCAAACCGACACAGGUGGUCAGGUAGAGAAUACCAAGGCGCUUGAGAGAACUCGGGUGAAGGAACUAGGCAAAAUGGUGCCGUAACUUCGGGAGAAGGCACGCUGACACGUAGGUGAAGUGAUUUACUCAUGGAGCUGAAGUCAGUCGAAGAUACCAGCUGGCUGCAACUGUUUAUUAAAAACACAGCACUGUGCAAACACGAAAGUGGACGUAUACGGUGUGACGCCUGCCCGGUGCCGGAAGGUUAAUUGAUGGGGUCAGCGCAAGCGAAGCUCCUGAUCGAAGCCCCGGUAAACGGCGGCCGUAACUAUAACGGUCCUAAGGUAGCGAAAUUCCUUGUCGGGUAAGUUCCGACCUGCACGAAUGGCGUAAUGAUGGCCAGGCUGUCUCCACCCGAGACUCAGUGAAAUUGAACUCGCUGUGAAGAUGCAGUGUACCCGCGGCAAGACGGAAAGACCCCGUGAACCUUUACUAUAGCUUGACACUGAACAUUGAGCCUUGAUGUGUAGGAUAGGUGGGAGGCUUUGAAGUGUGGACGCCAGUCUGCAUGGAGCCGACCUUGAAAUACCACCCUUUAAUGUUUGAUGUUCUAACGUGGACCCGUGAUCCGGGUUGCGGACAGUGUCUGGUGGGUAGUUUGACUGGGGCGGUCUCCUCCUAAAGAGUAACGGAGGAGCACGAAGGUUGGCUAAUCCUGGUCGGACAUCAGGAGGUUAGUGCAAUGGCAUAAGCCAGCUUGACUGCGAGCGUGACGGCGCGAGCAGGUGCGAAAGCAGGUCAUAGUGAUCCGGUGGUUCUGAAUGGAAGGGCCAUCGCUCAACGGAUAAAAGGUACUCCGGGGAUAACAGGCUGAUACCGCCCAAGAGUUCAUAUCGACGGCGGUGUUUGGCACCUCGAUGUCGGCUCAUCACAUCCUGGGGCUGAAGUAGGUCCCAAGGGUAUGGCUGUUCGCCAUUUAAAGUGGUACGCGAGCUGGGUUUAGAACGUCGUGAGACAGUUCGGUCCCUAUCUGCCGUGGGCGCUGGAGAACUGAGGGGGGCUGCUCCUAGUACGAGAGGACCGGAGUGGACGCAUCACUGGUGUUCGGGUUGUCAUGCCAAUGGCACUGCCCGGUAGCUAAAUGCGGAAGAGAUAAGUGCUGAAAGCAUCUAAGCACGAAACUUGCCCCGAGAUGAGUUCUCCCUGAGACUUAGAGUCUCCUGAAGGAACGUUGAAGACGACGACGUUGAUAGGCCGGGUGUGUAAGCGCAGCGAUGCGUUGAGCUAACCGGUACUAAUGA
RNAcentral lists this ribosomal RNA (1637 nucleotides) under Salmonella enterica. RNAcentral's name for it is "partial 23S ribosomal RNA". It matches the Rfam family "Bacterial large subunit ribosomal RNA", at positions 1292 to 2907 of the family's 2925-position model. The record is from RNAcentral. Lineage: Bacteria; Pseudomonadati; Pseudomonadota; Gammaproteobacteria; Enterobacterales; Enterobacteriaceae.